AAUUAGAUAAGCUAAACCUAAGCUAGUGGGUUCAUACCCCAACUAUGAGAAUCUUCUCUCUAAUUA
This 66-nucleotide transfer RNA is filed under the name Branchipolynoe segonzaci. RNAcentral's name for it is "Branchinotogluma segonzaci tRNA-Met". Lineage: Eukaryota; Metazoa; Annelida; Polychaeta; Phyllodocida; Polynoidae. The record is from RNAcentral.